This 301-nucleotide ribosomal RNA is filed under the name uncultured bacterium. RNAcentral's name for it is "partial 16S ribosomal RNA". It matches the Rfam family "Bacterial small subunit ribosomal RNA", at positions 509 to 807 of the family's 1533-position model. The record is from RNAcentral.
CAGUCGCCGCGGGAAUACGUAGGUGGCAAGCGUUGUCCGGAAUUAUUGGGCGUAAAGGGCUCGCAGGCGGCUUCUUAAGUCUGAUGUGAAAGCCCCCGGCUCAACCGGGGAGGGUCAUUGGAAACUGGGAAACUUGAGUGCAGAAGAGGAGAGUGGAAUUCCACGUGUAGCGGUGAAAUGCGUAGAGAUGUGGAGGAACACCAGUGGCGAAGGCGACUCUCUGGUCUGUAACUGACGCUGAGGAGCGAAAGCGUGGGGAGCGAACAGGAUUAGAUACCCCCGUAGUCCCUGUCUCUUAUAC